Molecule: long non-coding RNA, 1071 nt
Organism: Chinchilla lanigera (long-tailed chinchilla)
Lineage: Eukaryota; Metazoa; Chordata; Mammalia; Rodentia; Chinchillidae
Exons: 3
Source: RefSeq, a predicted model, not a curated record
UGCAAAAUGAGUAUUGAAACUGUAAAGAAAGAGUUCAGGGAUUCAUUAACCUAAUUUAGGGUAUCCACAGUAAAAGUCAGUAUGGGGUGGUAAGCGGAUUGAGCCCAGGUCAUUCCUACUGAGCUGCAUACCCAGCCCGGCUCUUUUACCUUUUAUUAUUCUGAGACAGAGCAUCACGAAGCUGCCCAAGUAGAAUUCAAGUCUGCAAUUCUUCUGCCUCGGUCUUCCAAAAUGCUAGGAUUACAGGUCACUGCCGGAGGACAGAAUUAGAAGACGCUCCUUUGGCAAGAGAGGCUGCUGGGUGCACAGGAACGCUACUAACACUGUAACAUCAUGAAAUCUGAGAAUUAAGGAGAAUUUUCAAGUCAAUCCAAGGCACUACUCAUUUCAUAAAUGAGGUAAGUUCCCAGAGACGUUGUCUACAUUCCUCAGAGUCACACAGACUUGCUGCAAACCCUUACCGAAAGUUUCAACCUCAAAUUCACUGACUGACAGCAGUGCUGGGAACUGAGUCCUGGGCCUCUUCUGUGACGUACACGCCAGGCUAGCGCUCUACCGCUGUGUUACAGUCCCAUGCCCGACCUCUCGAUUUAACCUUACGCCUUCUCCCACAUGUUUCCUAAUUAUUAUAUUUUCAAGUGAGGCCUAUUUUUUGUUUUCCACUAGUAAGAUAAAUAUUGAAUACUACUGUUGGUCUAAAAGAAGGGAUGAAGUAAGGGGAGGGAACUUGUCCCUUAAUAAGCAAGAAAAUGCUCGUCCAACCUGUCCAUAUGUGGAAAAUUAGGGUUACACUAGUAACACACAUGUCUAGAAAAUGAGUAAAUAAAGUGAAAUAUGAUAUUAUUACAAUGUUAACUAAGAUACACAGGCAUUUUAAUACCUGAACAAAAUCACCCUAAGGUUAUACAACUUUGAGACUAUAUCUUCAAGAGAUUUUAGGUGUUUCAUGUGUGUGGAAGAGACAAGCAGCUUAGUGGUUCAAAUCUCCUCAAACAAAGGACAAACUAACAUUUCAUUUAUGAAGACUGCAAUAUAGGAUGCUCUCACUUAACAAGUUUACUAAAUUUUAAA